GAUGAACGCUGGCGGCGUGCCUAAUACAUGCAAGUCGAGCGAACGGACGAGAAGCUUGCUUCUCUGAUGUUAGCGGCGGACGGGUGAGUAACACGUGGAUAACCUACCUAUAAGACUGGGAUAACUUCGGGAAACCGGAGCUAAUACCGGAUAACAUUUUGAACCGCAUGGUUCAAAAGUGAAAGACGGUCUUGCUGUCACUUAUAGAUGGAUCCGCGCUGCAUUAGCUCGUUGGUAAGGUAACGGCUUACCAAGGCAACGAUGCAUAGCCGACCUGAGAGGGUGAUCGGCCACACUGGAACUGAGACACGGUCCAGACUCCUACGGGAGGCAGCAGUAGGGAAUCUUCCGCAAUGGGCGAAAGCCUGACGGAGCAACGCCGCGUGAGUGAUGAAGGUCUUCGGAUCGUAAAACUCUGUUAUUAGGGAAGAACAUAUGUGUAAGUAACUGUGCACAUCUUGACGGUACCUAAUCAGAAAGCCACGGCUAACUACGUG
This 497-nucleotide ribosomal RNA is filed under the name uncultured bacterium. Its description in RNAcentral is "partial 16S ribosomal RNA". It matches the Rfam family "Bacterial small subunit ribosomal RNA", at positions 28 to 507 of the family's 1533-position model. The record is from RNAcentral.